Pelobates cultripes (western spadefoot toad) is the source of this 217-nucleotide non-coding RNA. Lineage: Eukaryota; Metazoa; Chordata; Amphibia; Anura; Pelobatidae. The record is from the annotation of a GenBank genome assembly.
GGAGUGGUUUGGAUAUAUACUAAAUGCAUUGUAUUUUUGGCUAGAACUUGUGGUCAUAACUGAUAAUAAUGUUGUUGUCAUCAAAUUUGACCUCUGCAGCAUUGAAAGGAAUUCACCUGAAAUUAAAGUGCCUCACAAUAUCAUAAGAAGUACACCGUGAAAAGAAGCAGAGUUUGUUAGUUGGCAUAUCCAAACAAAUGCCAUUAUUAAAUUGAAG